GAUGAAGAACGCAGCGAAAUGUGAUAAGUAAUGUGAAUUGCAGAAUUCAGUGAAUCAUCGAAUCUUUGAACGCACAUUGCGCCCGCCAGUAUUCUGGCGAGCAUGCCUGUUCGAGCGUCAUUUCAACCAUCAAGCCCCAGGCUUGUGUUGGAGCCCUGCGGCUGCCGCAGCCUCCCAAAACCAGUGGCGGGCUCGCUAUCACACCGAGUGCAGUAGUUUACUCUUCGCUCAGGGCGUGUGGCGGGUGCUAGCCGUGAAACCCCCAACUUCUCAAGGUUGACCUCGGAUCAGGGAGGAAUACCCGCUGAACUUAAGCAUAUCAAUAAGCGGAGGA
Molecule: unclassified non-coding RNA, 334 nt
Filed under: soil metagenome
Description: partial contains 5.8S ribosomal RNA, internal transcribed spacer 2, and large subunit ribosomal RNA
Rfam family: 5.8S ribosomal RNA (bases 1-120)
Source: RNAcentral